This 498-nucleotide ribosomal RNA is filed under the name uncultured bacterium. Its description in RNAcentral is "partial 16S ribosomal RNA". It matches the Rfam family "Bacterial small subunit ribosomal RNA", at positions 30 to 523 of the family's 1533-position model. The record is from RNAcentral.
AUUGAACGCUGGCGGCAUGCCUUACACAUGCAAGUCGAACGGUAACGGGCCUUCGGGUGCCGACGAGUGGCGAACGGGUGAGUAAUGCAUCGGAACGUACCCAUUAGUGGGGGAUAACUCUCCGAAAGGAGGGCUAAUACCGCAUAUUCUGUGAGCAGGAAAGCAGGGGAUCGCAAGACCUUGCGCUGAUGGAGCGGCCGAUGUCAGAUUAGCUAGUUGGUGAGGUAAAGGCUCACCAAGGCGACGAUCUGUAACGGGUCUGAGAGGAUGAUCCGCCACACUGGAACUGAGACACGGUCCAGACUCCUACGGGAGGCAGCAGUGGGGAAUUUUGGACAAUGGGGGCAACCCUGAUCCAGCCAUGCCGCGUGAGUGAAGAAGGCCUUCGGGUUGUAAAGCUCUUUCGGCCGGGAAGAAAUCGCACGGGUUAAUACCCUGUGUGGAUGACGGUACCGGAAUAAGAAGCACCGGCUAACUACGUGCCAGCAGCCGCCGUAA